UACGUAGGGUGCAAGCGUUGUCCGGAAUUAUUGGGCGUAAAGAGCUCGUAGGCGGUUUGUUGCGUCGGCUGUGAAAUCCCGAGGCUCAACCUCGGGUCUGCAGUCGAUACGAGCAAACUAGAGUGUUGCAGGGGAGACUGGAAUUCCUGGUGUAGCGGUGAAAUGCGCAGAUAUCAGGAGGAACACCGGUGGCGAAGGCGGUUACCUGGAGCUUUGCUGACGCUGAUGCGCGAAAGCGUGGGGAGCGAUCCGG
This 253-nucleotide ribosomal RNA is filed under the name uncultured bacterium. RNAcentral's name for it is "partial 16S ribosomal RNA". It matches the Rfam family "Bacterial small subunit ribosomal RNA", at positions 524 to 776 of the family's 1533-position model. The record is from RNAcentral.